UUUUCCUACGGGGGGCAGCAGUGAGGAAUAUUGGUCAAUGGGCGGGAGCCUGAACCAGCCAAGUCGCGUGAGGGAUGACGGUCCUACGGAUUGUAAACCUCUUUUGCCGGGGAGCAAGCGUGCGUUCGUGAACGCGCGUCGAGAGUACCCGGAGAAAAAGCAUCGGCUAACUCCGUGCCAGCAGCCGCGGUAAUACGGAGGAUGCGAGCGUUAUCCGGAUUUAUUGGGUUUAAAGGGUGCGUAGGCGGGAGGCCAAGUCAGCGGCAAAAAUGGGGUGCUCAACGCCGCC
RNAcentral lists this ribosomal RNA (289 nucleotides) under uncultured bacterium. RNAcentral's name for it is "partial 16S ribosomal RNA". It matches the Rfam family "Bacterial small subunit ribosomal RNA", at positions 334 to 619 of the family's 1533-position model. The record is from RNAcentral.